CAGUGCUUACCCUUCGGGGGACUCACCACCCUGUGUAUUAUUACUUGUUGCUUUGGCAGGCCGCGAGGUUGCUACGCGAUUGAGCACCGGCUCCGGCUGGAGAGCGCCUGCCAGGGGACCCAAACCUGUUAUUUUGUGAAAUCUGAGUACUAUUAAAUAGUUA
This 163-nucleotide unclassified non-coding RNA is filed under the name uncultured Helotiales. RNAcentral's name for it is "sequence contains ITS1". Lineage: Eukaryota; Fungi; Ascomycota; Leotiomycetes; Helotiales. The record is from RNAcentral.